This 1185-nucleotide long non-coding RNA is filed under the name Coturnix japonica (Japanese quail). RNAcentral describes it as "lncRNA (ENSCJPG00005013418.1)". Lineage: Eukaryota; Metazoa; Chordata; Aves; Galliformes; Phasianidae. The record is from RNAcentral.
CCUCUGGCUGGAAUAUGUCACUCCAAAGCUUACAAGCAGAAAAGUAGAGAGCAUAUGACAGUAUUUUUACUGGAAAAGCUAAGUUGGAAAUUGUUAACAACUGGUUUAAAAUAGAUGUCUCUAAAGUGGCAUAUAAAGAAUCCAGUAAAAUUAUGACUGUGUAGAGCUGCCUUUGGCACGCUCAAGCAAACAGAGCAUUAGAAUUACCUCAUCUCUGUCUCCUGCAAGCGUGUGUCUGUUUCUGUAUCAAGAUCCCUGUUCUUGGCUACAUGGAAUGAAAUGGCACUAAUACAAUUGGAGCAUCUCAGGCUGCCAAAGAGGAACAUUGGAAGCAUAGAGGCAGACGGCUCACACCACAUGAAGUCUUCAAACCUACAAGUAGCAGCUACUGCUAAAAAAAGAAGAUUGCACUCCAUGAACCUCUGGCAUGAAGCAACUCCACAGAUAUUACCACCAUGGUGGACCAAGCUACCUGAGGACAUGAGGGAAGGCCUGGGCUGAGUGAUUAAUUCACAGCUCCGAAGUUAUCGCCUGGCAUCACAAUAGUUCAAUCUGUGAUUGAAUCUGUGAAUCAUAGAAUAACUGUUUGAGUUGGGACUCUUACAGGUCAUCUAAUCCAACUCCACUACAAUGAACAGGGACACUCACAGCUCGACCAGGUUGCUCAGAGCCACAUCCAGCCUGACCUUGAAUGUCUCCAAGGAUGGGGCAUCCACCACCUCUCUGGACAACCUGUUCCAGUGCCACACCACUGUUAUUGUAAAAAAACUUCUUCCUUAUAUCCAAUCUAAAUCUCCCCUCUUUUAGUUUGAAACCCUUGUCCUAUCACAACAGACCCUGUUAAAGAGUCUGUCCCCAACUUCCAUACAGACCUGCUAUCAGGCCUUCUUCUAUGGCCUUCUUCUGUGCAAAGGGUUCACAUCUCUCCCACACUGAGAAUGCCACACCUGGAUGCAGCACUGUAGGUGAAGUCUCAACAGAGUUGAACCAUCCUUCCCAUCUGCUGUCUAAAAACAGUUUCACUUCUUCAGUUGGCUGUAGCCAUGAUAACCACCCAGUUACAAUGUCCAAGGCUACUGCUAUACAGUAAUAAGGGACGGACCUGCUCCAGAAGGCUCUACAGGGAAUAUCCGAGAUGAAGCCAGUUAGCACCUGCUUGAAAUAAAAGGAUUUCUCUGCAAAACA